Haliotis rubra (blacklip abalone) is the source of this 1122-nucleotide long non-coding RNA. RefSeq lists it as uncharacterized. NCBI's taxonomy places the organism in Eukaryota, Metazoa, Mollusca, Gastropoda, Lepetellida, Haliotidae. The transcript has 4 exons. The record is from RefSeq and is a predicted model, not a curated record.
GGGCGUCACGCUCUGUGUGUUCCACAACACAGGCAAGCCGGGUGCCCUGCACGAUAUACACACCUGCACACCUAAUUAGGUCAACAACGGCCAUGUUGAACGGUGUCACGAUGAGUUCCUAUAAGGGUGGAUGUGUCAUUGUUCCUUUAAUCGCUAUAUCAUACGCGCAGGAAAUGUGUUACACAAAAGCGUCCGAUGGGACAACCAGCGAAGAGAUACUGCGAAUUCAAUUGUUGUGGUAUUACAUCCUCCUACUGCUGCAGCGAACCAGGAACGGCAGAUACUGGACUUAUUGUUGGACUCGUGGUGGGGAUUUUGGCCGUGAUUGCUGUGAUCGUGGGUGUGGUCUUAUUUUGUCUCUUCCGACGUCGUAAAGCACGGAGACAAAAUGAAAAAGUGUCGACACACAGCCACGAAGACGAUCACUCAACAGUUUCAGACGAGGAUACCUAUCCAGAUAAAGGUUACCGAUCCCCGCCGGCACCAGACCCGUAUUACCUGCCUCCAGUAGAGAUGAAACGUCUCCCCACCCCUCCUCAUCAGUCCCAUUCAUCCACACAUAGACCCCCUUCCACGUCUUCUGCAACAAGGUCUACCACAGUUACGGAUAUAUGAUAAAUACGUUUUUUUCUCACAUAUAAACGUCACCGUAACAAGUGUUAUGGUGAGUUACAGGCUUUGGUUUGUCAUGACAGAAAAAUUGCCAGUAUGACAUAAAACGUUAACCCACUUCAGUCACUACAUGUUUUGCUUCAGAUAAGUAGAAGGUAAGUAGUAGUAUGCAAUAUUUCGUCAAUCUUAGCAUGUCAAUAUACCAUGUCAGUAAGUGUAUCAACUUUAAAAAUAUAUAUAUAUCGUUAUAAACAUGUACAACGCAGUAAAAUCCUGUAAAAUGAAACACACAGACCAUUAUAGAAUGCAUCAUAUUUGCCAUAUUUAAUUGUUUUAAUGAAGUUAAAACAAAAUAUUUUUUUCAACAAAAUCACUUACAAAGGCACACGGUGCAGGCAUCAUGUGUAUCAAAUACACACUAGACGCCAAAAGAAACGUUAUCCUCCUACCUUUAUGAAUUACUGAAAAACUAACAAAGAUAUGUUAGAAGGUUUUAGUUUACAAGAAAGC